Molecule: ribosomal RNA, 449 nt
Filed under: uncultured bacterium
Lineage: Bacteria
Description: bacterial SSU rRNA
Rfam family: Bacterial small subunit ribosomal RNA
Source: RNAcentral
CGCCAGACUCCUACGGGAGGCAGCAGUGGGGGAUAUUGCACAAUGGGGGGAACCCUGAUGCAGCGACGCCGCGUGGGUGAAGGAGCGUUUCGGCGCGUAAAGCCCUAUCGGCAGGGAAGAAGGAGGACGGUACCUGACUAAGAAGCCCCGGCUAACUACGUGCCAGCAGCCGCGGUAAUACGUAGGGGGCAAGCGUUAUCCGGAUUCACUGGGUGUAAAGGGAGCGUAGACGGCGACGCAAGUCUGGAGUGAAAGCCCGGGGCCCAACCCCGGGACUGCUCUGGAAACUGCGUCACUGGAGUACGGGAGGGGCAGGCGGAAUUCCUGGUGUAGCGGUGAAAUGCGUAGAUAUCAGGAGGAACACCGGCGGCGAAGGCGGCCUGCUGGACCGCGACUGACGUUGAGGCUCGAAAGCGUGGGGAGCGAACAGGAUUAGAUACCCUCGUACC